AAUCAACGCUGGCGGCGUGCCUCAGACAUGCAAGUCGAACGAUUAAAGCUCUCUUCGGAGUGUGCAUAGAGUGGCGCACGGGUGAGUAACACGUAAGUAAUCUACCUUCGAGUGGGGAAUAACGUCCGGAAACGGGCGCUAAUACCGCAUAAUGCAGCGGCAUCGCAAGAUGACAGUUGUUAAAGGAGCAAUCCGCUUGAAGAGGAGCUUGCGGCAGAUUAGCUAGUUGGUAGGGUAAUGGCCUACCAAGGCUACGAUCUGUAACCGGUCUUAGAGGACGGUCGGUCACACUGACACUGAAUAACGGGUCAGACUCCUACGGGAGGCAGCAGUCGGGAAUUUUGGGCAAUGGGGGAAACCCUGACCCAGCAACGCCGCGUGAAGGAUGAAGUAUUUCGGUAUGUAAACUUCGAAAGAAUAGGAAGAAUUAAUGACGGUACUAUUUAUAAGGUCCGGCUAACUACGUG
Molecule: ribosomal RNA, 467 nt
Filed under: uncultured bacterium
Lineage: Bacteria
Description: bacterial SSU rRNA
Rfam family: Bacterial small subunit ribosomal RNA
Source: RNAcentral